Long non-coding RNA from Passer domesticus (house sparrow), 2079 nucleotides. RefSeq lists it as uncharacterized. Lineage: Eukaryota; Metazoa; Chordata; Aves; Passeriformes; Passeridae. The record is from RefSeq and is a predicted model, not a curated record. The transcript has 3 exons.
GGAUCAUCUGCUCUCCUGGACGUACCCACAUAAUGGGACCAUCAUCACUGUCUUUACGACUCUCUAAUUUUAAACUAGAAAGUGUUCCCCAUGGCAGUGUACACUAAUGGGAAAUACAAGCCACAAUUUUCAAGCUGAAAGACGCUGGCAUUAUGAGGUGAAAUAUGAACAGAUCAGAAUGGAGCAAAGAGCAGAUGGAUUACUGCACACACCAAAAAGUCUGGGGAAAAAAAAUGGCUUCAGAGAAAAAAAUCAACAACAACAACAAGCAAACAAAAUUAUCCACAAACUGAACUCAACUUCAAGAAACCCAUGAAGUCCCACCAAAGACCAACAACAAAAGCCAAGAACAUUACACCAUCUAAGAAUAUGCAAGGACAUUGAGGGUUUUGCUGCAGAAGUGCACCAGCAAUGCACUUACACACUGAUGUCUCAGAACAGAAAACCUCUAAUUUCAGAGUCAGAGUUGAUCUCAAACACUGCAGCCAUGAAGAGGCCAUUUCCAUUGCUGCGAACUUGGUACAUUUCAGUGAAGUGCCCAAGCGGUUUUCUGUUCCUUGCCAACUUCAUUCAAAUCCUUAAAUGCUUCUUUAUACUUCCAGUUUCAAAUGGGAGCCAACACUGAACAAAUAUUCAUCAACACUGCUCUGAUUUCACAAAUACUCCUUAAUCUGUUUGGCUGCUUUUUACUAUUAAACCACAUGUACUUCAUACUACUCCCUUCACUUUUUUUCCCUUUUUUAGAUCAGGGUUUUGGUAUCAGAAUGGGAUGUCUUGACAGUUCUGGUAUUACUCAACUGUCAUUAAAAACCUAAAUUCAACAACUAGUUUUUCCCAAUUGGAAGUAUCUGGAAAUGCAAUCUCAAGAUUUGAUCAGCUUAAAAGCAAGAAGCAAAUUCUACUGAAAACAAAGUUCUACUGAAAAAUACUGAAACACAAUUGAAAAUACAUAGUUCCAAUAUAAAAGAAUUCUCUCUAGAACACAGGAAAAUAACAAUAUAUGGAAAUAGAUACUACACAAAUCUUUAAUGAUAAGGAAAUGAAGCACUAAAUUGAGAUUUUCUUUUAAAAAUAUUUUCAGCAAUUCCCCUCAAAUACUAAAGGAACUAAUGAUUUCAAGCAGGAUUUCACAAAUUAUUAAAGAACUAAACAGCAAAAACCUCUCUGCAAAAGAAAUGUUAAAGAGAUAAACAAGGAGGACAGCAAGCAGAAGAUAAUAUUGAGAGGAUAAAAGAGAAGGGAAACGACAAGCUCUGUGUACAGAACCUGAAAAAGUGAGGACAACCUCUCACAUAAAGUCACAUUACAAACAUGAACUAUCAUUACUAUCACAUGUCUUCCUCCAAAAUACUUACUUCAUUAAUAUUUGACUAUUCAGUGUCUAUCACAGCUAGCAUGGCAACAUGAAUUUAUUCCAAACCAGGAACAAAAUCAAUGAAAAUGGUUUCUCUGAAGAUGCAACUGCCUGUUGUUAUGGAAUGGGGCUGAUUGUGUAGACCCACAGUCAUCCUUGAGCUACCUUUAACAUAUUUAAUCAAUGGAAUUUGCCAACUCCGUAAUAAAACCAGUCCCUCAAGAGUAUUUAAGUAGUUCUGAUGGAUUAAUGAAACAAACUCCACCAGCUCAAGAAGCACCACACCUUGGCACUAGAACAUGCAGCUGGGAGGAAAGAAGGAAUGAGGACCUUUUCUUUUGGCAGAAAAUCUUCUUUAGAUUGGCUCUGGCCAUUUGUCUAAUUGCACACUGUACAGCUGGAAUGACCUUUCCUGAAAGUGAAUAGGCUGAAUGAUGUGCAUCCUCUCAUACCUACAGCACAAAGGCAGUAAGGUAAAACAAGACAAAGCUUUAAUAAAUCAGUGAGAACUGCAAGAAUCAAUAAAUCAAUAAAUCAGUGAGAACUGUGUGGUGCAGUUGACACAAGGGAAGGAAGGGAUGCCAUCCAGAGGCUGGGAAGAUGGGCCCUGUGGACCUCAUGAAGUUCAACAAAGCCAAGUGCAAGGUCCUGCAUGUGGGUUGGGACAAUUCCAAGCACAAAUGCAGCAUGGAGAAUCAACUGAGAGCAGCCCUGGGGAGAAAGAC